GUGACCUUGAAGCGAUUCAAUUUCUUUAUGCUACACUGAGGCCAUCACCACCUCUCACAGCUGUGACAUCUUCCUUCCUGCCUCACCCCCACCGUUUCAUCCCUCACUUGCGCUCCCCCUCUGUGGUUUCUUCGAAAGCCGGCGAAUGGACUACGCGAGCUGAGGCCAAGCUGCUGCCAAGGUGAUAAACAGUUAAAGUGGGGGAGGAGAGGGAGAGCGAGGGUGCAAAAGAGAGCAGAGCAGCGGCCCAAAGACAGAGAGAGAAUGGAGAAAAUGAUUGGGAGCAGACGCAAGGGUCAAGUGUCACUGCUGCGCUGUUUGUUGUUAUGAGACAAGACAACCUGCUCAACACCCACCCAGCUGUGGACAGUGCUCUGUAUAAAACAUUAGGUACAUAAUAUCGCAGUGACUAUAAGUCAUAUUUGAACAACAAACAGGAGGCACACCGUAUCGAAUAAAUAUUUGCUGUCGUCUAACAAAUUUAAACAAUAAAGGACA
Molecule: long non-coding RNA, 498 nt
Organism: Synchiropus splendidus (mandarinfish)
Lineage: Eukaryota; Metazoa; Chordata; Actinopteri; Syngnathiformes; Callionymidae
Exons: 3
Source: RefSeq, a predicted model, not a curated record